UACGACUACAUAUCAGGCAUAUCAAUAAGCGGAGGAAAAGAAACUAACUAGGAUUCCCUUAGUAACGGCGAGUGAAGCGGGAAGAGCUCAAAUUUGAAAUCUUCAAGGUUCUACCUUGACGAAUUGUAGUUUAAAGAAGUGUUUUCUGUUGGAGUUUUGGUAAAAGUUCUUUGGAAUAGGACAUCAUAGAGGGUGAGAAUCCCGUAUUUGACCAUUUCUUCCAGCUGUGUGAUACACUUUCAAAGGGUCGGAUUGUUUGGGAAUGCAGUCCAAAAUGGGUGGUAAAUUUCAUCUAAAGCUAAAUAUUGGCGAGAGACCGAUAGCGAACAAGUACCGUGAGGGAAAGAUGAAAAGAACUUUGAAAAGAGAGUUAAACAGUACGUGAAAUUGUCGAAAGGGAAGCGUUUGACACCAGUGUUGUUUAGUUGAAAAUCAAUUCAAUAGUUUUUGAUUCUAAGUAGUAUUGACUUCAUCAGCUUGCUGCCUUCUUCUCAGAAAUUAUUGAAUGCACUUUUCAGUUAACAAGUCAACAUCAAUUUCUUUUGUUGUAAAAGGGUAAGAGGAAGGUGGCUUGCGCUUCGGCUCAAGUGUUUAUAGCCUUUUAUCUCUGCAAUCGGAGAGAUUGAGGUCUGCAGCGUAGAUCCUUCGGGGUUAGAUACAUUAGAUGCUAAGUUAUAGCUUUGUAUAGACAACUUGUUGACUAUGAUUAAGUCAUGUAGCUUACUCGUUGACUGCUAUUUUACCUACGCUUAGGAUGUUGAACGCGCACAGAGUCUC
RNAcentral lists this ribosomal RNA (777 nucleotides) under uncultured Neocallimastigales. Its description in RNAcentral is "partial large subunit ribosomal RNA". It matches the Rfam family "Eukaryotic large subunit ribosomal RNA", at positions 24 to 641 of the family's 3401-position model. The record is from RNAcentral. Lineage: Eukaryota; Fungi; Neocallimastigomycota; Neocallimastigomycetes; Neocallimastigales.